Molecule: long non-coding RNA, 278 nt
Filed under: Elaeis guineensis (African oil palm)
Lineage: Eukaryota; Viridiplantae; Streptophyta; Magnoliopsida; Arecales; Arecaceae
Description: long non-coding RNA (EGUI_LNC080803)
Source: RNAcentral
GUGCCGACGAGAGCUUGAGCUCAAUUGGGAUAACAGCCUCCGUGCCGAAGGCUAGAGCGAAGGGGGUCUCCCCCGUGGGCAGUCUUUGGGUAGUUCGGUACGCCCACAACACAUGGUAAAGUUCGUCUGCCUAAGUUUCCUUCGCCUUUUCGAGCCUUGUCUUGAUCCCUUGCAGCAGAGUUCUGUUGGUCACUUCGGCUUCGCCGUUCGCCUGAGGAUGGGCUACCGAUGUGAAGUUGUGGGAGAUGUUUAGAUCUUCACAAAAUUCGAUGAAUCUC